AUCGCCUCUUGGCCUUUUGGCUAAGAUCAAGUGUGUUAUCUGUUCUUAUCAGAAAGUAGAUUAGUAAUUGCUUAUUGGUAGAGAGGAAGAUAAU
Small nuclear RNA from Camelus dromedarius (Arabian camel), 94 nucleotides. Its record names the gene U2. It matches the Rfam family "U2 spliceosomal RNA". Rfam says of the family: U2 is a small nuclear RNA (snRNA) component of the spliceosome (involved in pre-mRNA splicing). Complementary binding between U2 snRNA (in an area lying towards the 5' end but 3' to hairpin I) and the branchpoint sequence (BPS) of the intron results the bulging out of an unpaired adenosine, on the BPS, which initiates a nucleophilic attack at the intronic 5' splice site, thus starting the first of two transesterification reactions that mediate splicing. NCBI's taxonomy places the organism in Eukaryota, Metazoa, Chordata, Mammalia, Artiodactyla, Camelidae. The record is from Ensembl.